This 278-nucleotide ribosomal RNA is filed under the name uncultured bacterium. Its description in RNAcentral is "partial 16S ribosomal RNA". It matches the Rfam family "Bacterial small subunit ribosomal RNA", at positions 79 to 354 of the family's 1533-position model. The record is from RNAcentral.
CUUUCUCCGCCGGCGACCGGCGCACGGGUGAGUAACACGUAUGCAACCUGCCCCUGUCAGGGGGACAACCCGCCGAAAGGCGGGCUAAACCCGCGUACAUGCCACCGGGGCAUCCCGGAGGCAGGAAAGGCUUCGGCCGGACAGGGAUGGGCAUGCGGCGCAUUAGGGCAGGUAGGCGGGGUAACGGCCCACCUAACCGACGAUGCGUAGGGGUUCUGAGAGGAAGGUCCCCCACACUGGUACUGAGACACGGACCAGACUCCUACGGAAGGCAGCAG